RNAcentral lists this ribosomal RNA (253 nucleotides) under uncultured bacterium. Its description in RNAcentral is "partial 16S ribosomal RNA". It matches the Rfam family "Bacterial small subunit ribosomal RNA", at positions 524 to 776 of the family's 1533-position model. The record is from RNAcentral.
UACGUAGGGGGCGAGCGUUGUCCGGAAUUACUGGGCGUAAAGAGCGCGUAGGCGGCAUGAUAAGUUCUGUGUGAAAGUCCCCGGCUCAACUGGGGAGGGUCGCGGAAAACUGUCAGGCUUGAGUGUCGGAGAGGGAAGUGGAAGUCCCGGAGUAGGGGUGAAAUCCGUAGAGACCGGGCCGAACACCAGUGGCGAAGGCGGCUUCCUGGCCGACGACUGACGCUGAGGCGCGAAAGCGUGGGGAGCGAACGGG